This 117-nucleotide signal recognition particle RNA is filed under the name Chlorocebus sabaeus (green monkey). RNAcentral describes it as "Metazoan signal recognition particle RNA". It matches the Rfam family "Metazoan signal recognition particle RNA". Rfam says of the family: The signal recognition particle (SRP) is a universally conserved ribonucleoprotein. It is involved in the co-translational targeting of proteins to membranes. The record is from Rfam by way of RNAcentral. Lineage: Eukaryota; Metazoa; Chordata; Mammalia; Primates; Cercopithecidae.
GCUGGGUGUGGUGGCUCACACCUGUAAUCCCAGCACUUUGGGAGGCCGAGGUGGGUGGAUCACCUGAGGUCAGGAGUUCAAGACCAGCCUGACCAACAUGGUGAAACCCCAUCUCUA